GUUUAAUUCGAUGCAACGCGAAGAACCUUACCUACUCUUGACAUCCAGAGAAGCCAGCGGAGACGCAGGUGUGCCUUCGGGAACUCUGAGACAGGUGCUGCAUGGCUGUCGUCAGCUCGUGUUGUGAAAUGUUGGGUUAAGUCCCGCAACGAGCGCAACCCUUAUCCUUGUUUGCCAGCGAGUAAUGUCGGGAACUCCAGGGAGACUGCCGGUGAUAAACCGGAGGAAGGUGGGGACGACGUCAAGUCAUCAUGGCCCUUACGAGUAGGGCUACACACGUGCUACAAUGGCGCAUACAGAGGGCAGCAAGCUAGCGAUAGUGAGCGAAUCCCAAAAAGUGCGUCGUAGUCCGGAUUGGAGUCUGCAACUCGACUCCAUGAAGUCGGAAUCGCUAGUAAUCGUGAAUCAGAAUGUCACGGUGAAUACGUUCCCGGGCCUUGUACACACCGCCCGUCACACCAUGGGAGUGGGCUGCAAAAGAAGUGGGUAGUUUAACCUUUCGGGGAGGA
RNAcentral lists this ribosomal RNA (509 nucleotides) under Vibrio splendidus FF-6. RNAcentral describes it as "bacterial SSU rRNA". It matches the Rfam family "Bacterial small subunit ribosomal RNA", at positions 944 to 1452 of the family's 1533-position model. The record is from RNAcentral. Lineage: Bacteria; Pseudomonadati; Pseudomonadota; Gammaproteobacteria; Vibrionales; Vibrionaceae.